GAUGAACGCUGGCGGCGUGCCUAAUACAUGCAAGUCGAGCGAACGGACGAGAAGCUUGCUUCUCUGAUGUUAGCGGCGGACGGGUGAGUAACACGUGGAUAACCUACCUAUAAGACUGGGAUAACUUCGGGAAACCGGAGCUAAUACCGGAUAAUAUUUUGAACCGCAUGGUUCAAAAGUGAAAGACGGUCUUGCUGUCACUUAUAGAUGGAUCCGCGCUGCAUUAGCUAGUUGGUAAGGUAACGGCUUACCAAGGCAACGAUGCAUAGCCGACCUGAGAGGGUGAUCGGCCACACUGGAACUGAGACACGGUCCAGACUCCUACGGGAGGCAGCAGUAGGGAAUCUUCCGCAAAGGGCGAAAGCCUGACGGAGCAACGCCGCGUGAGUGAUGAAGGUCUUCUGAUCGUAAAACUCUGUUAUUAGGGAAGAACAUAUGUGUAAGUAACUGUGCACAUCUUGACGGUACCUAAUCAGAAAGCCACGGCUAACUACGUG
This 497-nucleotide ribosomal RNA is filed under the name uncultured bacterium. RNAcentral describes it as "partial 16S ribosomal RNA". It matches the Rfam family "Bacterial small subunit ribosomal RNA", at positions 28 to 507 of the family's 1533-position model. The record is from RNAcentral.